AGUGAACGCUGGCGGCGUGCCUAACACAUGCAAGUCGAGCGAUUCUCUUCGGAGAAGAGCGGCGGACGGGUGAGUAACGCGUGGGUAACCUGCCCUGUACACACGGAUAACAUACCGAAAGGUAUGCUAAUACGAGAUAAUAUACUGUUAUUGCAUGGUAGAAGUAUCAAAGCUCCGGCGGUACAGGAUGGACCCGCGUCUGAUUAGCUAGUUGGUAAGGUAACGGCUUACCAAGGCGACGAUCAGUAGCCGACCUGAGAGGGUGAUCGGCCACAUUGGAACUGAGACACGGUCCAAACUCCUACGGGAGGCAGCAGUGGGGAAUAUUGCACAAUGGGCGAAAGCCUGAUGCAGCAACGCCGCGUGAGCGAUGAAGGCCUUCGGGUCGUAAAGCUCUGUCCUCAAGGAAGAUAAUGACGGUACUUGAGGAGGAAGCCCCGGCUAACUACGUGCCAGCCGCCGCCGUAA
This 468-nucleotide ribosomal RNA is filed under the name uncultured bacterium. Its description in RNAcentral is "partial 16S ribosomal RNA". It matches the Rfam family "Bacterial small subunit ribosomal RNA", at positions 29 to 523 of the family's 1533-position model. The record is from RNAcentral.